This 747-nucleotide long non-coding RNA is filed under the name Nicotiana tabacum (common tobacco). RNAcentral describes it as "long non-coding RNA (NTAB_LNC005067)". Lineage: Eukaryota; Viridiplantae; Streptophyta; Magnoliopsida; Solanales; Solanaceae. The record is from RNAcentral.
AACCCUAAACUGAAUUUUUCCUUUAGUCAGCAUUAGGGUUUUAAACCCUAAACUGAACUUUUUCCUUUCAGUCAGCAUUAGGGUUUUAAACCCUAAACUGAAUUUUCCCUUUAGUCAGCAUUAGGGUUUUAAACCUAAACUGAACUUUUUCCAUUUAGUCAGCGUUAGGGUUUUAAACCCUAAACUGAACUUUACCAUUCAGUCAGCAUUAGGGUUUUAAACCCUAAACUGAACUUUUCCUUUAGUCAGCAUUAGGGUUUUAAACCCUAAACUGAACUUUUUCCUUUCAGUCAGCAUUAGGGUUUUAAACCCUAAACUGAAUUUUCCCUUUAGUUAGCAUUAGGGUUUUAAACCCUAAACUGAACUUUUCCAUUUAGUCAGCGUUAGGGUUUUAAACCCUAAACUGAACUUUACCAUUCAGUCAGCAUUAGGGUUUUAAACCCUAAACUGAACUUUUUCAUUCAGUCAGCAUUAGGGUUUUAAACCCUAAACUGAUUUUUUCCUUUCAGUCAGCAUUAGGGUUUUAAAACCCUAAACUGAAUUUUUCCAUUCAGUCAGCAUUAGGGUUUUAAAACCCUAAACUGAAUUUUUCCUUUAGUCAGCAUUAGGGUUUUAAACCCUAAACUGAACUUUUUUCAUUCAGCCAGCAUUAGGGUUUUAAACCCUAAACUGAGCUUUUCCAUGCAAUCAGCAUUAAGGUUUUAAACCCUAAACUAAAUUUUUCCUUUAGUCAGCAUUAGGGUUUUA